This 1000-nucleotide ribosomal RNA is filed under the name Isoptericola sp. ZZY-2013. RNAcentral's name for it is "bacterial SSU rRNA". It matches the Rfam family "Bacterial small subunit ribosomal RNA", at positions 33 to 1044 of the family's 1533-position model. Lineage: Bacteria; Bacillati; Actinomycetota; Actinomycetes; Micrococcales; Promicromonosporaceae. The record is from RNAcentral.
GUGCAGUUGCGGCGUGCACACUAUUACAGUCGAACGGUGAAGCCCAGCUUGCUGGGUGGAUCAGUGGCGAACGGGUGAGUAACACGUGAGCAACCUGCCCUCCACUUCGGGAUAAGCCUUGGAAACGGGGUCUAAUACCGGAUAUGAGCAUCUGCCGCAUGGUGGGUGUUGGAAAGUUUUUCGGUGGGGGAUGGGCUCGCGGCCUAUCAGCUUGUUGGUGGGGUGAUGGCCUACCAAGGCGUCGACGGGUAGCCGGCCUGAGAGGGCGACCGGCCACACUGGGACUGAGACACGGCCCAGACUCCUACGGGAGGCAGCAGUGGGGAAUAUUGCACAAUGGGCGAAAGCCUGAUGCAGCGACGCCGCGUGAGGGAUGACGGCCUUCGGGUUGUAAACCUCUUUCAGCAGGGAAGAAGGCCUUCGGGUGGACGGUACCUGCAGAAGAAGCGCCGGCUAACUACGUGCCAGCAGCCGCGGUAAUACGUAGGGCGCAAGCGUUGUCCGGAAUUAUUGGGCGUAAAGAGCUCGUAGGCGGUCUGUCGCGUCUGGUGUGAAAUCCCGAGGCUCAACCUCGGGCUUGCAUCGGGUACGGGCAGACUAGAGUACUGUAGGGGAGACUGGAAUUCCUGGUGUAGCGGUGGAAUGCGCAGAUAUCAGGAGGAACACCGAUGGCGAAGGCAGGUCUCUGGGCAGUUACUGACGCUGAGGAGCGAAAGCAUGGGGAGCGAACAGGAUUAGAUACCCUGGUAGUCCAUGCCGUAAACGUUGGGCACUAGGUGUGGGGCUCAUUCCACGAGUUCCGUGCCGCAGCUAACGCAUUAAGUGCCCCGCCUGGGGAGUACGGCCGCAAGGCUAAAACUCAAAGGAAUUGACGGGGGCCCGCACAAGCGGCGGAGCAUGCGGAUUAAUUCGAUGCAACGCGAAGAACCUUACCAAGGCUUGACAUGCACCGGACGCUGCCAGAGAUGGUGGUUCCGCAAGGUCGGUGCACAGGUGGUGC